GCGGGAGUAGCUCAGUGGUAGAGUAUAACCUUGCCAAGGUUAGGGUCGAGGGUUCGAACCCCUUCUCCCGCU
RNAcentral lists this transfer RNA (72 nucleotides) under Anaplasma phagocytophilum. It matches the Rfam family "tRNA". From Rfam's summary of the family: Transfer RNA (tRNA) molecules are approximately 80 nucleotides in length. The record is from Rfam by way of RNAcentral. Lineage: Bacteria; Pseudomonadati; Pseudomonadota; Alphaproteobacteria; Rickettsiales; Anaplasmataceae. RNAcentral also lists the same sequence under 19 other names.